This 99-nucleotide ribosomal RNA is filed under the name uncultured bacterium. Its description in RNAcentral is "partial 16S ribosomal RNA". It matches the Rfam family "Bacterial small subunit ribosomal RNA", at positions 1384 to 1482 of the family's 1533-position model. The record is from RNAcentral.
UACACACCGCCCGUCACACCAUGGGAGUGGGUUGUACCAGAAGGCGGUAGACUAACCGAAAGGAGGUCGCUGACCACGGUAUGAUUCAUGACUGGGGUG